RNAcentral lists this unclassified non-coding RNA (89 nucleotides) under Pseudomonas sp. NFACC16-2. Lineage: Bacteria; Pseudomonadati; Pseudomonadota; Gammaproteobacteria; Pseudomonadales; Pseudomonadaceae. The record is from RNAcentral. RNAcentral also lists the same sequence under 3 other names.
UGCGGGAGCGAGCUUGCUCGCGAUAGCGGUGUGUCAGUCAACUGGAUGUUGGCUGGUCCAUCGCUAUCGCGAGCAAGCUCGCUCCCACA